AUACGGAGGGUGCGAGCGUUGUUCGGAAUUAUUGGGCGUAAAGAGCAUGUAGGCGGUCUGUUAAGUCUGGUGUGAAAGCCCGGGGCUCAACCCCGGAAGUGCAUUGGAUACUGGCAGACUUGAGUAUGGGAGAGGAUAGCGGAAUUCCGAGUGUAGGAGUGAAAUCCGUAGAUAUUCGGAGGAACACCAGUGGCGAAGGCGGCUUUCUGGACCAAUACUGACGCUGAGAUGCGAAAGCGUGGGGAGCGAACAGGAUUAGAAACCCGGGUAGUCC
This 274-nucleotide ribosomal RNA is filed under the name uncultured bacterium. RNAcentral's name for it is "partial 16S ribosomal RNA". It matches the Rfam family "Bacterial small subunit ribosomal RNA", at positions 523 to 796 of the family's 1533-position model. The record is from RNAcentral.